GACGAACGCUGGCGGCGUGCUUAACACAUGCAAGUCGAACGGAAAGGCCCUGCUUUUGUGGGGUGCUCGAGUGGCGAACGGGUGAGUAAUACGUGAGUAACCUGCCCUUGACUUUGGGAUAACUUCAGGAAACUGGGGCUAAUACCGGAUAGGAGCUCCUGCUGCAUGGUGGGGGUUUGAAAGUUUCGGCGGUUGGGGAUGGACUCGCGGCUUAUCAGCUUGUUGGUGGGGUAGUGGCUUACCAAGGCUUUGACGGGUAGCCGGCCUGAGAGGGUGACCGGCCACAUUGGGACUGAGAUACGGCCCAGACUCCUACGGGAGGCAGCAGUGGGGAAUAUUGCACAAUGGGCGGAAGCCUGAUGCAGCAACGCCGCGUGCGGGAUGACGGCCUUCGGGUUGUAAACCGCUUUCGCCUGUGACGAAGCGUGAGUGACGGUAAUGGGUAAAGAAGCACCGGCUAACUACGUG
This 468-nucleotide ribosomal RNA is filed under the name uncultured bacterium. RNAcentral describes it as "partial 16S ribosomal RNA". It matches the Rfam family "Bacterial small subunit ribosomal RNA", at positions 28 to 507 of the family's 1533-position model. The record is from RNAcentral.